This 747-nucleotide ribosomal RNA is filed under the name uncultured Moryella sp. RNAcentral's name for it is "bacterial SSU rRNA". It matches the Rfam family "Bacterial small subunit ribosomal RNA", at positions 28 to 776 of the family's 1533-position model. The record is from RNAcentral. Lineage: Bacteria; Bacillati; Bacillota; Clostridia; Lachnospirales; Lachnospiraceae.
GAUGAACGCUGGCGGCGUGCUUAACACAUGCAAGUCGAACGAGAAGUGGAGACGGAAACCUUCGGGCGGAAGACUUUAUUUCGAGUGGCGGACGGGUGAGUAACGCGUGGGUAACCUGCCUCAUACAGGGGGAUAACAGUUGGAAACGACUGUUAAUACCGCAUAAGACCACAGCACCGCAUGGUGCGGGGGUAAAAACUCCGGUGGUAUGAGAUGGACCCGCGUUCGAUUAGCCAGUUGGCGGGGUAACGGCCCACCAAAGCGACGAUCGAUAGCCGAUCUGAGAGGAUGACCGGCCACAUUGGGACUGAGACACGGCCCAAACUCCUACGGGAGGCAGCAGUGGGGAAUAUUGCACAAUGGGGGAAACCCUGAUGCAGCGACGCCGCGUGAGUGAAGAAGUAUUUCGGUAUGUAAAGCUCUAUCAGCAGGGAAGAAAAUGACGGUACCUGAGUAAGAAGCCCCGGCUAACUACGUGCCAGCAGCCGCGGUAAUACGUAGGGGGCAAGCGUUAUCCGGAUUUACUGGGUGUAAAGGGAGCGCAGACGGCUCUGCAAGUCUGAAGUGAAAGCCCGCGGCUUAACCGCGGGACUGCUUUGGAAACUGCAAGGCUUGAGUAUCGGAGGGGCAGGCGGAAUUCCUAGUGUAGCGGUGAAAUGCGUAGAUAUUAGGAAGAACACCGGUGGCGAAGGCGGCCUGCUGGACGAAAACUGACGUUGAGGCUCGAAGGCGUGGGGAGCAAACAGG